This 305-nucleotide ribosomal RNA is filed under the name uncultured bacterium. Its description in RNAcentral is "bacterial SSU rRNA". It matches the Rfam family "Bacterial small subunit ribosomal RNA", at positions 337 to 634 of the family's 1533-position model. The record is from RNAcentral.
GCCUACGGGGCGCAGCAGUAGGGAAUCUUCCACAAUGGGCGAAAGCCUGAUGGAGCAACGCCGCGUGGGUGAAGAAGGUCUUCGGAUCGUAAAACCCUGUUGCUAGAGAAGAAAGUGCGUGAGAGUAACUGUUCACGUUUCGACGGUAUCUAACCAGAAAGCCACGGCUAACUACGUGCCAGCAGCCGCGGUAAUACGUAGGUGGCAAGCGUUAUCCGGAUUUAUUGGGCGUAAAGAGAACGCAGGCGGUCUUUUAAGUCUGAUGUGAAAGCCUUCGGCUUAACCGGAGUAGUGCAUUGGAAACU